Molecule: long non-coding RNA, 2704 nt
Organism: Cyprinus carpio carpio
Lineage: Eukaryota; Metazoa; Chordata; Actinopteri; Cypriniformes; Cyprinidae
Source: Ensembl
UUAUUUAUUUUUACGCUGGAGUACCUUAAAAUGCCACUGGGCCGAGGUAGCGUCCGUGACAUGCCAACACGACAGCAUUUCCUCUGGUGUACAGUGCUGUCUAUGCCUGCGCCCGCUGUGACGCUGGCUGUAUUCGCAUUAGUGUUGGCACAGUACUUGGUAAAAGCGGAAGGGCCACAGUCGGGGCUCUCAGCACAGCACCUGCUUCUAAAACUGCAGACACACUAAAAUUAGCAUCAACCACCUGCCACAAAAGCCAGUUUCAUCCAGUUAAACAGAAGAGCACAUCAGAAGAGUGAUUUACAUGACAGACAAACCGGCAAAAUAAUAAGACUGACCCUUGUUCAGGACCCUCCCCCUCUUUGCACGGCCCGGUCUUUGCUAAAGUCAUGUGACAGCUUGUGCAGAGGUCCCACAGCACCCGCUCACUCUCCUGCAGUGAACACCAGUCUGCAUAAGGACAAACAAUGAAAUUAUAAAAACAGUAAUAUUGUAAAAUAUUAUUAUAAUUUAAAAUAAGCAUUUUCUAUCCUAAUACAUUUCUGUGAUGCAAAGCUAAAUUUUGAGCAUCACAACUCCAGUCUUUCUGAAGUGUCAUUUCAGAAAUCAUUCUAAUGUGUUGAUUUGCUGCUGAAGAAACAUUCAUUAUUAUCAAUGUUGAAACCACUUGUACUGCUUCGCAUUUUGUGGAAAAUGUGAUAUUAAUGUAGGAUUGUUUGAUGAAUAGAAAGUUCAAAAACAUCAUUCUAGAUUAGUUUUUUUGUAACAAUGUAAAAGUCUUUACUGUCACUUUUGAUCAAUUUAAAACUGGACUACAUAUGAUUAUUUUAGUAGUCAAUGGCAUUACAUUGUUCUGUCCAAUGAGGUUGAGGAAAGCAUCCCCAGCAGCACAGCUUCUCUCAUCGGUGGUCAGUCGUUCUUCUAGGGUGUUACGGAACAGCAGGUGGCGCUGUAGCAUCUGAUCAAUGUGCUUUACAAACGCCACACUGUCUCACAAACACACAAAUACACUUGUUAUAGUGCCUGGUACAGUCAGAAAUAAAGAGAUUACAUGAAACACACAGAUAAUGAUUAUAGUUCUCUACUUUUGCUCAGCAGAUUUGUAUUUCUCGUAGAGCUGAUUCAAACUAGACACAUAAUCGCGUUCAGACUGCAACAGCAUCUCCACCACACCCCGCCUCCUGCCUGACAGAGAAACAGAGACAUGAGGAUCCACGUGUGAAUGCUGAGCAGUUCAAAGGCUUGGGGAACAGAUUAUUUACCCCGCCGUAGGCAGCUGUGUGUUACAUGACAGGAUAGAGAAUCUGCACCUGAAACAGUAAACAAAACUCACUGUAAUGUGAUUAGACUGUUUAAGCAUUUUUUAAUAUCAUUUGCAUCGCCUUAAUUAGUUUUUGCCACAUGUUAUAUUACUUAACAUUUUAUUUCAAUAUAUUAAAGCUACACCAUGUAACUUUUGGCCUUCUAUAGCGUCUGUAGCCUAAAAAUACAAGUAACUUUCGGAGAAACACUGUUUUAGUAAUUCUGCAUGUUGUGCUUGGGCACUGCUGUUUUGUGAGGAUGAAUCUGAUGGCUUGAGGUACAAAAGUUUGGCAAUUUUUGGAGAUUACUAAGUAGGGUGACCAUAAGUCCUGGCUGAGAUUUCUAAAUAGCCUAAAAUGUCUGGGUUUUUGCUUUAUUUUGCUAUUGACAUGCUAUCUGCAUUCUCCAAUAUAUGUAUAUGCAUAUUUGCAUUGCUUUAACCGCUUUCUGUAGGGCUGAUUAUGUACAAUGCCUACACAAUAUUGGUCAGAAUACUUUUCAGUCAUUAUCUUCAGCAAAUAUGAAAACAAUAGCAAAAACAUGGAAACACGCACAGACAAAUGAUGAAAGUAUGCAUUUAACCAGGAAAUUAAUUCCAACCACUCUAAAAUAUAAACAGUUAUUAUAGUCUUACCAUAGUGAUUUAAGGACAAAACUUUGAGUAGAAAAGGUUACAUAGUGUUGCUUUAACAAAUAUUUAAAAAUAUGUAUUUUAGGGUAUGUUUACAAAACAAUGAUUGUACUAAAAACAGAAAAGUUUUUCCUUUGCAUUUUUGAAAAGUUACACAUACAGAUGACAACAUUGUCAAAACGAUCCCCGUUUUCACAGAUCAGUGAAAACGACUAAAAAUGCUGUAUUAGGCACGCCAGGCCAGUAGUUGGCAAUGUCCCCUUUUAAAGAAACACUAUGCGCUAUGCACAAACAUAUACAUUCCAGUAGACUGAACAUGUAAUAUGCAUGCACAUGACUUCAUCCUUGUGUUUUUGUAGUCUGUAUUAUAUAAAAACUUUCACUUUGAAACCCUUACCCUUUUAAAAACCCUUUUUUCUUUUUACACCCCAAAAAAGAAAAGCUCACCUGAAUUCUGUCUGGCCCACUGCCACACCUGUAAUCCCUGCAGGUAACAGUGUAUGAGGAAAUCUCCACCCACAGAUGAAAGGGGAGGAGCCUCUGCAGCACCAUUACUCUGUCCGCUACUGUCGUCCACUCCAUUACUGCAUUCACACAUACACACAUCAACACUAUAGCGCAGUUUCAGUCAAACUUUAAAUGUAAAUGUGUGCAUGUCAGUGUGCGUGUGUGUGUGUGUUUACUUCUCUCUUCCUGGAUUCUCUGGUGGCGUUCUCUCUUGUGCCUCACAGAGUUGACGAAACUGACAACGUACCUCCUCCAGCUCCUCCU